CCGGAGUGACGGGUACACUGUGGGGACCGCCGCUGCUAAAGCGGAGGAAGGAAUGGGCAACGGUAGGUCAGUAUGCCCCGAAUAUCCCGGGCUACACGCGAGCUACAAUGGUUGGUACAAUGGGUAUCUACCCCGAAAGGGGAUGGAAAUCUCCUAAAGCCAAUCUUAGUCCGGAUUGAGGGCUGCAACUCGCCCUCAUGAAGCUGGAAUCCGUAGUAAUCGCGUUUCAACAGAACGCGGUGAAUACGUCCCUGCUCCUU
This 260-nucleotide ribosomal RNA is filed under the name uncultured Methanosaeta sp. Its description in RNAcentral is "partial 16S ribosomal RNA". It matches the Rfam family "Archaeal small subunit ribosomal RNA", at positions 1079 to 1338 of the family's 1478-position model. Lineage: Archaea; Methanobacteriati; Methanobacteriota; Methanomicrobia; Methanotrichales; Methanotrichaceae. The record is from RNAcentral.